AUACAUCCGGUUUGACUUACCCA
Molecule: non-coding RNA, 23 nt
Filed under: Arabidopsis thaliana (thale cress)
Lineage: Eukaryota; Viridiplantae; Streptophyta; Magnoliopsida; Brassicales; Brassicaceae
Source: RNAcentral